This 246-nucleotide ribosomal RNA is filed under the name uncultured bacterium. RNAcentral describes it as "partial 16S ribosomal RNA". It matches the Rfam family "Bacterial small subunit ribosomal RNA", at positions 526 to 771 of the family's 1533-position model. The record is from RNAcentral.
CGUAGGUGGCGAGCGUUGUCCGGAAUUAUUGGGACGUAAAGGGAGCGCAGGCGGGAAGGUAAGUCUAUCUUAAAAGUGCGGGGCUCAACCCCGUGAGGGGAUGGAAACUAUCUUUCUUGAGUGCAGGAGAGGAAAGCGGAAUUCCUAGUGUAGCGGUGAAAUGCGUAGAUAUUAGGAGGAACACCAGUGGCGAAGGCGGCUUUCUGGACUGUAACUGACGCUGAGGCUCGAAAGCGUGGGGAGCGA